UAUUAAAAUUUUCAUCUAUUUUUUAAUUAAAAAUUGACAUAAUUAACAGAAUAAUCAAAUUGUGACACGUGGCGUGCAGCAUAUACCUCAUGCUAACAUAAAAAGACUAGUUUUUAAUAGUAGAAAUGAGUGAAUUUUUUAAUA
This is a non-coding RNA of Gossypium hirsutum (cotton), 144 nucleotides long. NCBI's taxonomy places the organism in Eukaryota, Viridiplantae, Streptophyta, Magnoliopsida, Malvales, Malvaceae. The record is from Rfam.